UACGUAGGGUGCGAGCGUUAAUCGGAAUACUGGGCGUAAAGCGUGCGCAGGCGGUUUUGUAAGCCAGAUGUGAAAUCCCCGGGCUUAACCUGGGAAUGGCAUUUGGGACUGCAAGGCUUGAGUGCGGCAGAGGAGACUGGAAUUCCUGGUGUAGCAGUGAAAUGCGUAGAUAUCAGGAGGAACACCGAUGGCGAAGGCAGGUCUCUGGGCUGACACUGACGCUCAGCACGA
Molecule: ribosomal RNA, 231 nt
Filed under: uncultured bacterium
Lineage: Bacteria
Description: partial 16S ribosomal RNA
Rfam family: Bacterial small subunit ribosomal RNA
Source: RNAcentral